Molecule: ribosomal RNA, 301 nt
Filed under: uncultured bacterium
Lineage: Bacteria
Description: partial 16S ribosomal RNA
Rfam family: Bacterial small subunit ribosomal RNA
Source: RNAcentral
CAGCAGCCGCGGUAAAACGAAGGGGGCUAGCGUUGCUCGGAAUGACUGGGCGUAAAGGGCGCGUAGGCGGCUUGUACAGUCAGAUGUGAAAUUCCUGGGCUCAACCUGGGGACUGCAUUUGAUACGUACGGGCUUGAGUGGAGAAGAGGGUUGUGGAAUUUCCAGUGUAGAGGUGAAAUUCGUAGAUAUUCGGAAGAACACCAGUGGCGAAGGCGACUCACUGGACGACUGUUGACGCUGAGGCACGAAAGCGUGGGGAGCAAACAGGAUUAGAUACCCCAGUAGUCCCUGUCUCUUAUAC